RNAcentral lists this ribosomal RNA (484 nucleotides) under uncultured bacterium. RNAcentral describes it as "partial 16S ribosomal RNA". It matches the Rfam family "Bacterial small subunit ribosomal RNA", at positions 29 to 507 of the family's 1533-position model. The record is from RNAcentral.
AAUGAACGCUGGCGGCAGGCCUAACACAUGCAAGUCGAGCGGAAGGACGGUGCUUGCUCCCGGUUUCAGCUGGGGACGGGUGGGUGAUUCAUAGGAAUCUCCCUGGCUUCUGUUUCUAAGGUCCUGACACGGGCGCUCAUACCGUAUAAGACCAGAGGGAGAACGUGGGGGAUCUUCGGACCUUACGCUCUUUUGUGAAUCUAGGUGGGAUUAGCUAGUUGGUUGGGUAAAGGCCUACCAAGGCGACGAUCCGUAACUGGUCUGAGAGGAUGAUCAGUCACACUGGAACUGAGACACGGUCCAGACUCCUACGGGAGGCAGCAGUGGGGAAUAUUGGACAAUGGGCGAAAGCCUGAUCCAGCCAUGCCGCGUGUGUGAAGAAGGUCUUCGGAUUGUAAAGCACUUUUAGUGGGGAAGAAAAGCAGUAGGUUAAUACCUUGCUGUUUUGACGUUACCAAAAGAAUAAGCACCGGCUAACUUCGUG